This 1081-nucleotide ribosomal RNA is filed under the name Vibrio sinaloensis. RNAcentral describes it as "bacterial SSU rRNA". It matches the Rfam family "Bacterial small subunit ribosomal RNA", at positions 87 to 1165 of the family's 1533-position model. The record is from RNAcentral. Lineage: Bacteria; Pseudomonadati; Pseudomonadota; Gammaproteobacteria; Vibrionales; Vibrionaceae.
GGCGUCGAGCGGCGGACGGGUGAGUAAUGCCUGGGAAAUUGCCCUGAUGUGGGGGAUAACCAUUGGAAACGAUGGCUAAUACCGCAUAAUAGCUUCGGCUCAAAGAGGGGGACCUUCGGGCCUCUCGCGUCAGGAUAUGCCCAGGUGGGAUUAGCUAGUUGGUGAGGUAAGGGCUCACCAAGGCGACGAUCCCUAGCUGGUCUGAGAGGAUGAUCAGCCACACUGGAACUGAGACACGGUCCAGACUCCUACGGGAGGCAGCAGUGGGGAAUAUUGCACAAUGGGCGCAAGCCUGAUGCAGCCAUGCCGCGUGUAUGAAGAAGGCCUUCGGGUUGUAAAGUACUUUCAGCAGUGAGGAAGGCGGGUGUGUUAAUAGCACAUUCGUUUGACGUUAGCUGCAGAAGAAGCACCGGCUAACUCCGUGCCAGCAGCCGCGGUAAUACGGAGGGUGCGAGCGUUAAUCGGAAUUACUGGGCGUAAAGCGCAUGCAGGUGGUUUGUUAAGUCAGAUGUGAAAGCCCGGGGCUCAACCUCGGAAUUGCAUUUGAAACUGGCAGACUAGAGUACUGUAGAGGGGGGUAGAAUUUCAGGUGUAGCGGUGAAAUGCGUAGAGAUCUGAAGGAAUACCGGUGGCGAAGGCGGCCCCCUGGACAGAUACUGACACUCAGAUGCGAAAGCGUGGGGAGCAAACAGGAUUAGAUACCCUGGUAGUCCACGCCGUAAACGAUGUCUACUUGGAGGUUGUGGCCUUGAGCCGUGGCUUUCGGAGCUAACGCGUUAAGUAGACCGCCUGGGGAGUACGGUCGCAAGAUUAAAACUCAAAUGAAUUGACGGGGGCCCGCACAAGCGGUGGAGCAUGUGGUUUAAUUCGAUGCAACGCGAAGAACCUUACCUACUCUUGACAUCCUCAGAAGCUUGUAGAGAUACGAGUGUGCCUUCGGGAACUGAGAGACAGGUGCUGCAUGGCUGUCGUCAGCUCGUGUUGUGAAAUGUUGGGUUAAGUCCCGCAACGAGCGCAACCCUUAUCCUUGUUUGCCAGCACUUCGGGUGGGAACUCCAGGGAGACUGCCGGUGAUAAACCG